RNAcentral lists this ribosomal RNA (484 nucleotides) under uncultured bacterium. Its description in RNAcentral is "partial 16S ribosomal RNA". It matches the Rfam family "Bacterial small subunit ribosomal RNA", at positions 30 to 507 of the family's 1533-position model. The record is from RNAcentral.
AUUGAACGCUGGCGGCAUGCUUUACACAUGCAAGUCGAACGGCAGCACGGGCUUCGGCCUGGUGGCGAGUGGCGAACGGGUGAGUAAUAUAUCGGAACGUACCCAGAAGUGGGGGAUAACGUAGCGAAAGUUACGCUAAUACCGCAUACGAUCUAUGGAUGAAAGCAGGGGACCGCAAGGCCUUGUGCUCCUGGAGCGGCCGAUAUCUGAUUAGCUAGUUGGUGAGGUAAAGGCUCACCAAGGCGACGAUCAGUAGCUGGUCUGAGAGGACGACCAGCCACACUGGAACUGAGACACGGUCCAGACUCCUACGGGAGGCAGCAGUGGGGAAUUUUGGACAAUGGGCGCAAGCCUGAUCCAGCAAUGCCACGUGAGUGAAGAAGGCCUUCGGGUUGUAAAGCUCUUUUGUCAGGGAAGAAACGGUAGAGGCUAAUAUCCUUUGCUAAUGACGGUACCUGAAGAAUAAGCACCGGCUAACUACGUA